RNAcentral lists this ribosomal RNA (253 nucleotides) under uncultured bacterium. Its description in RNAcentral is "partial 16S ribosomal RNA". It matches the Rfam family "Bacterial small subunit ribosomal RNA", at positions 524 to 776 of the family's 1533-position model. The record is from RNAcentral.
UACGAACUGUGCGAACGUUAUUCGGAAUCACUGGGCUUACAGGGUGCGUAGGCGGCCUAUUAAGUCAGUGGUGAAAUAUCUCAGCUCAACUGAGAGUGUGCCAAUGAUACUGAUGGGCUUGAGUACAGAUGAGGUAGGCGGAAUUGACGGUGUAGCGGUGAAAUGCUUAGAUAUCGUCAAGAACACCUAUAGCGAAGGCAGCUUACUAGGCUGUAACUGACGCUGAGGCACGAAAGUGUGGGGAUCAAACAGG